GUUCAAUCAACACUCAACUCACUCACACUCAAUAAUCAACCACUUUUGACCGUACUCUCUGCAAGUAGCCCUAAUUUCAGCUUCAGCCAUGCCUAAAGUGACAGUCUAAUCCUCCUAGACUUCUCUGCAAAGUCAUUACAUUCAUAGAAAAACUCAUUUCUCCCAUUUUCACUAGCAGCUUAACAAAUUAGAAAUUCUUGAUUUCAAUAUCUUUCAAAUUGCUCACUCGUUCCAACCUACCCAGGGAGUUUCAAACGCAGAACAAGAGCCCACCAUUUCAAGAACACGCAAGAUCAAGGGGAUUAGCGAUGCUUUCCCGAGAUGAGUUUAUGUGAUUACGAUCUUCAGGCUUUGCCUAAUCAGCUGACCUGGUGAGUUGAUCUCCAUCGGGCACUAACUAAGAGGCGUUAUAAAGGUGCUCGGCUGGAUGUGUUUCAGAGCAUGAGAAAUAUGAGGCCUGCCUGGGUAGCGUCCCGAGGUCAAAGUAAACUUGUCUGGGUUACGCCCUCAGUUCAAGUAAACAGGAGACAGAGAUCCGUCGGUGGUUAAAUGUCUUAUUUUCACUUUUCAGAGAUCAAGACUAAUUUAGGUUGGCUCGUUCAAAACCCUGACUACCGUUGUUAGCUUUAUUCUCAUAUCUGUGUUUUUUAUUAACUACAACUUCAUUCCUUAUUUAGGACUUGAAGCAGGUGUAAUACUUGUAGCAUU
Salvia miltiorrhiza (redroot sage) is the source of this 708-nucleotide long non-coding RNA. RefSeq lists it as uncharacterized. The transcript is spliced from 3 exons. The record is from RefSeq and is a predicted model, not a curated record. Lineage: Eukaryota; Viridiplantae; Streptophyta; Magnoliopsida; Lamiales; Lamiaceae.